This 241-nucleotide ribosomal RNA is filed under the name uncultured bacterium. RNAcentral describes it as "partial 16S ribosomal RNA". It matches the Rfam family "Bacterial small subunit ribosomal RNA", at positions 15 to 248 of the family's 1533-position model. The record is from RNAcentral.
GAUCAGCUCAGGAUGAACGCUAGCUACAGGCUUAACACAUGCAAGUCGAGGGGCAUCAGUUUGGUUUGCUUGCAAACCAAAGCUGGCGACCGGCGCACGGGUGAGUAACACGUAUCCAACCUGCCUCAUACUCGGGGAUAGCCUUUCGAAAGAAAGAUUAAUAUCCGAUAGCAUAUAUUUCCCGCAUGGGUUUUAUAUUAAAGAAAUUCGGUAUGAGAUGGGGAUGCGUUCCAUUAGUUUG